RNAcentral lists this transfer RNA (71 nucleotides) under Loxodonta africana (African savanna elephant). It matches the Rfam family "tRNA". From Rfam's summary of the family: Transfer RNA (tRNA) molecules are approximately 80 nucleotides in length. Their secondary structure includes four short double-helical elements and three loops (D, anti-codon, and T loops). The record is from Rfam by way of RNAcentral. Lineage: Eukaryota; Metazoa; Chordata; Mammalia; Proboscidea; Elephantidae.
GCAGUGGUGGUUCAGUGGUAGAGCUCUUGUGUUCCAUGCAAGAGACCUAGGUUCGAUUCUCAGUUGAUACG